UACAGAGGGUGCGAGCGUUAAUCGGAUUUACUGGGCGUAAAGGGCGCGUAGGCGGUUAUGUAAGUGAGAUGUGAAAUCCCUGGGCUUAACCUAGGAACUGCAUCUCAUACUGCGUAGCUAGAGUAUUGUAGAGGGUAGUGGAAUUUCCGGUGUAGCGGUGAAAUGCGUAGAGAUCGGAAGGAACACCAGUGGCGAAGGCGGCUACCUGGACAAAUACUGACGCUGAUGCGCGACAGCGUGGGGAUCAAACAGG
Molecule: ribosomal RNA, 253 nt
Filed under: uncultured bacterium
Lineage: Bacteria
Description: partial 16S ribosomal RNA
Rfam family: Bacterial small subunit ribosomal RNA
Source: RNAcentral